UCGUAACAAGGUUUCCGUAGGUGAACCUGCGGAAGGAUCAUUACUGAGUGAGGGUCCCUCGGGGCCCAACCUCCCACCCGUGUAUACCGUACCUUGUUGCUUCGGCGGGCCCGCCGCGCAAGCGGCCGCCGGGGGGGCGUCAAACCCCCCUCCCUAGGCGAGCGCCCGCCGGAGACACCAACGUGAACACUGUCUGAAGUUUUGUUGUCUGAGUUCGAUUGUAUCGCAAUCAGUUAAAACUUUCAACAAUGGAUCUCUUGGUUCCGGCAUCGAUGAAGAACGCAGCGAAAUGCGAUAAUUAAUGUGAAUUGCAGAAUUCAGUGAAUCAUCGAGUCUUUGAACGCACAUUGCACCCCCUGGUAUUCCGGGGGGUAUGCCUGUCCGAGCGUCAUUGCUGCCCUCAAGCACGGCUUGUGUGUUGGGUCGUCGUCCCCCCCGGGGACGGGCCCGAAAGGCAGCGGCGGCACCGCGUCCGGUCCUCGAGCGUAUGGGGCUUUGUCACCCGCUCUUGUAGGCCCGGCCGGCGCUGGCCGACGCUGAAAAGCAACCAACUAUUUCUCCAGGUUGACCUCGGAUCAGGUAGGGA
RNAcentral lists this ribosomal RNA (586 nucleotides) under Aspergillus sclerotiorum. RNAcentral describes it as "eukaryotic LSU rRNA". The stretch from base 238 to 391 matches the Rfam family "5.8S ribosomal RNA". The record is from RNAcentral. Lineage: Eukaryota; Fungi; Ascomycota; Eurotiomycetes; Eurotiales; Aspergillaceae.